This 472-nucleotide ribosomal RNA is filed under the name uncultured bacterium. RNAcentral describes it as "partial 16S ribosomal RNA". It matches the Rfam family "Bacterial small subunit ribosomal RNA", at positions 28 to 507 of the family's 1533-position model. The record is from RNAcentral.
GACGAACGCUGGCGGCGUGCUUAACACAUGCAAGUCGAACGAUGAACCCGGAGCUUGCUCUGGGGGAUUAGUGGCGAACGGGUGAGUAACACGUGAGUAACCUGCCCUGGACUCUGGGAUAAGCGUUGGAAACGACGUCUAAUACCGGAUAGGACCUUGGAUCGCAUGAUCUGGGGUGGAAAGUUUUUUCGGUCUGGGAUGGACUCGCGGCCUAUCAGCUUGUUGGUGAGGUAAUGGCUCACCAAGGCGUCGACGGGUAGCCGGCCUGAGAGGGUGACCGGCCACACUGGGACUGAGACACGGCCCAGACUCCUACGGGAGGCAGCAGUGGGGAAUAUUGCACAAUGGGCGAAAGCCUGAUGCAGCAACGCCGCGUGCGGGAUGACGGCCUUCGGGUUGUAAACCGCUUUUAGUAGGGAAGAAGGGCUUCGGCUUGACGUUACCUGCAGAAAAAGGACCGGCUAACUACGUG